Molecule: small RNA, 607 nt
Filed under: Pan troglodytes (chimpanzee)
Lineage: Eukaryota; Metazoa; Chordata; Mammalia; Primates; Hominidae
Description: retained intron
Source: RNAcentral
AGGAGAGGGUGAGGGCUUAAAGCAAAGCAUGUGUUGGGGUUGGGGAGUGGGCUGGCACUACCCUGAGGGUGCAUGGGAGAGGCUGGAGGAGGGAGACCGAAAGAGCCCUGGCCUCUGACCCCGCCUGCACUCCCCACCUUGGAGUAGGAAGUGGAAGAGACGCCGGAGGAGUGGAACCUCUACUACCCGAUGCAGCUGGACCUGGAGUAUGUGAGGAGUGGCUGGGACGACUACGAGUUUGACAUCAAUGAAGUGGAGGAAGGCCCUGUCUUCGCCAUGUGCAUGGCGGGUGCUCAUGACCAGGCGACGAUGGCUAAGUGGAUCCAGGGCCUGCAGGAGACCAACCCAACCCUGGCCCAGAUCCCCGUGGUCUUCCGCCUCGCCGGGUCCACCCGGGAGCUCCAGACAUCCUCUGCAGGGCUGGAGGAGCCGCCCCUGCCCGAGGACCACCAGGAAGAAGACGACAACCUGCAGCGACAGCAGCAGGGCCAGAGCUAGUCUGAGCCGGCGCGAGGGCACGGGCUGUGGCCCGAGGAGGCGGUGGACUGAAGGCAUGAGAUGCCCUUUGAGUGUACAGCAAAUCAAUGUUUUCCUGCUUGGGGCUCUC